UUACGGGAGGCAGCAGUGAGGAAUAUUGGUCAAUGGGAGCAAUCCUGAACCAGCAAUGCCGCGUGUGGGAUGACAGGGCUCAGCCUUGUAAACCACUGUCGGAUGGGACGAGAAGGUUCUUUUAGGACCCGGGACGGUACCAUCAAAGGAAGGGUCGGCUAACUACGUGCCAGCAGCCGCGGUAAUACGUAGGACCCAAGCGUUGUCCGGAUUUACUGGGUAUAAAGGGUGCGCAGGCGGCCGUGUGCGUCAGAAGUGAAAUAUCCGGGCUUAACCCGGAGGGUGCUUUUGAUACGGCAUGGCUUGAGUCCGGGAGAGGAUGAUGGAAUUCCUGGUGUAGCGGUGGAAUGCGUAGAUAUCAGGAGGAACACCGGUGGCGAAGGCGGUCAUCUGGCUCGGAACUGACGCUCAGGCACGAAAGCGUGGGGAUCAAACAGGAUUAGAUACCCUGGUAGUCCACGCCCUAAACGAUGUAUGCUUGGUGUUGGGCCCAUUGGGGUUCAGUGCCGAAGGAAAUCUGGUAAGCAUACCACCUGGGGAGUACGAUCGCAAGGUUGAAACUCAAAUGAAUUGACGG
This 577-nucleotide ribosomal RNA is filed under the name uncultured bacterium. Its description in RNAcentral is "bacterial SSU rRNA". It matches the Rfam family "Bacterial small subunit ribosomal RNA", at positions 339 to 916 of the family's 1533-position model. The record is from RNAcentral.